Molecule: ribosomal RNA, 253 nt
Filed under: uncultured bacterium
Lineage: Bacteria
Description: partial 16S ribosomal RNA
Rfam family: Bacterial small subunit ribosomal RNA
Source: RNAcentral
GACGUAAGGCGCGAGCGUUGUCCGGAUUUAUUGGGCGUAAAGAGCUCGUAGGCGGCUUGUCGCGUCGAAUGUGAAAACCCACGGCUCAGCUGUGGGCUUGCAUUCGAUACGGGCAGGCUAGAGUUCGGUAGGGGAGACUGGAAUUCCUGGUGUAGCGGUGAAAUGCGCAGAUAUCAGGAGGAACACCGGUGGCGAAGGCGGGUCUCUGGGCCGAUACUGACGCUGAGGAGCGAAAGCGUGGGGAGCGAACAGG